RNAcentral lists this unclassified non-coding RNA (443 nucleotides) under Hevea brasiliensis (rubber tree). Lineage: Eukaryota; Viridiplantae; Streptophyta; Magnoliopsida; Malpighiales; Euphorbiaceae. The record is from RNAcentral.
GGCUUAAUUUAGUAAGUUAAAAAAAAAAAGAUUUUGAAAAUUUUUAAAAAUUUUAGUUUAAGAAAAAAAUACAUGUUAUUCUAAAUUUAAAUUUAAAAUUUUUAAAUUUUAAAAGCCAAACAAGUCACUGUAAAGUUGUUAAACGACAAGAAGACUAGAACCGCCCAAAAAUCAGUGGCUAUGACAUAGGAUCUGCACAAAUCUCCAUGUUACCGAAUCAUCGACAGCGGUGGUAGGCUGGUCGGUCGGUGGUUGUCGGUGGAGCUUCCCCUUUUCCUCCCCAAUGAGUUUCCCGACAUCACCGCAAACCAUGCUUAACUUUGAAAAAAGAAAAAAAAUAAAGGAAAAAAACAAUUAAUAUCAAGUUUCAUGAUAUUUUCAUUGAGAAUGACAGCCCUCGAGCACACGUUUAUAUAAUUAAUUUUAUUUUUCGCAAAAAGUUC